GCUGAACUUAAGCAUAUCAAUAAGCGAAG
Molecule: ribosomal RNA, 29 nt
Filed under: Tuber indicum
Lineage: Eukaryota; Fungi; Ascomycota; Pezizomycetes; Pezizales; Tuberaceae
Description: partial 28S ribosomal RNA
Source: RNAcentral